UGAUCACCUUGAAGAUGAGAUUUAUGUUUGUGGUCACACAGCUGUUUGGAGUUCUCGCUCUGGAGACUCGAAAGUCUUGCACAAAUCUUUCACUGUGGAAUUGCCAAUCACAGCUGCCUUGUGGUGCGUGCUUCGUACUAUAGACACAACUUAACUAUACGUGCGAGACAGAGAGUGUUCUUGAUGUUCAAGUGUGUGAAUCUAUUGGCGGAUGUGACUGAGCUGAUAAUGAACAAGAAGAUCUAAUUAAGUGGAACAACCAAUCUAGAAUAUAUGUACACAAAGUCACGAACUAAACACAUCUCUUCAUCUACUACGACCAUUUCUAGUUUUU
Molecule: long non-coding RNA, 334 nt
Organism: Xenia sp. Carnegie-2017
Lineage: Eukaryota; Metazoa; Cnidaria; Anthozoa; Malacalcyonacea; Xeniidae
Exons: 2
Source: RefSeq, a predicted model, not a curated record